RNAcentral lists this unclassified non-coding RNA (472 nucleotides) under Hevea brasiliensis (rubber tree). Lineage: Eukaryota; Viridiplantae; Streptophyta; Magnoliopsida; Malpighiales; Euphorbiaceae. The record is from RNAcentral.
GGUCACUGUUGCCAUCCCCCACCUAACCCACAAACAAACAUAAACGAUUUAACGACAUGACGUUACAUUAUUAGUAUUAAAUUAUUAAAUUUGUGACUAUAGUUUGGCUGUAAUGCAGACUAAUGGUAAUGGAUCAUCAAUUCUGUUAAAAACAAGAUAAUCUCAUUGAAAAGGACAAAUAGAAUGGGGAAAACCUUACUAGAGAUCAAGGAAAUUAAAAUAAAACAAAAUAAAAUAGUGAUGCUUAUAUGGAAUUUCAAGGAAUUGGGUACGUGGGAGGUCGAAUUCUGGCAUAAAACCUGUUUUAUGUGCACAAUACAUCAGUACUCAAAAAUGGGUUCAGCUGCAAAAUCCAAAUAAACACAAGUAAAGCCGGCUUUUACUUUGAAAACAGGGCAAUUUCUUGAUUUUUAGCGGAACAAAUUCUUGAUGAAAGAGUUGCGCAUUGAAAAAGUGAAAGCUGUGGUGUAAA